UACGUAGGGGGCAAGCGUUGUCCGGAAUCAUUGGGCGUAAAGAGCGUGUAGGCGGCCCGAUAAGUCCGCUGUGAAAGUCCAGGGCUCAACCCUGGAAUGCCAGUGGAAACUGUCGGGCUAGAGUCCGGAAGAGGCGAGUGGAAUUCCUGGUGUAGCGGUGAAAUGCGCAGAUAUCAGGAGGAACACCAGUGGCGAAGGCGAGUCCCUGGACAACUCCUGACACUGAGGCACGAAAGCUAGGGGAGCAAACAGG
Molecule: ribosomal RNA, 253 nt
Filed under: uncultured bacterium
Lineage: Bacteria
Description: partial 16S ribosomal RNA
Rfam family: Bacterial small subunit ribosomal RNA
Source: RNAcentral